UACAGAGGGUGCAAGCGUUAAUCGGAAUUACUGGGCGUAAAGAGCGCGCAGGCGGUCGUACAAGUCGCGUGUGAAAGCCCCCGGCUCAACUGGGGAGGGUCACGCGAUACUGUUCGACUCGAAGGCAGGAGUGGGAAGCGGAAUUCCCGGUGUAGUGGUGAAAUGCGUAGAUAUCGGGAGGAACACCAGUGGCGAAGGCGGCUUCCUGGCCUGUUCUUGACGCUGAGGCGCGAAAGCUAGGGUAGCAAACGGG
This 253-nucleotide ribosomal RNA is filed under the name uncultured bacterium. RNAcentral's name for it is "partial 16S ribosomal RNA". It matches the Rfam family "Bacterial small subunit ribosomal RNA", at positions 524 to 776 of the family's 1533-position model. The record is from RNAcentral.